Molecule: unclassified non-coding RNA, 337 nt
Filed under: soil metagenome
Description: partial contains 5.8S ribosomal RNA, internal transcribed spacer 2, and large subunit ribosomal RNA
Rfam family: 5.8S ribosomal RNA (bases 1-120)
Source: RNAcentral
GAUGAAGAACGCAGCGAAAUGCGAUAAGUAGUGUGAAUUGCAGAAUUCAGUGAAUCAUCGAAUCUUUGAACGCACAUUGCGCCCCUUGGUAUUCCAUGGGGCAUGCCUGUUCGAGCGUCAUUUGUACCUUCAGGCUCUGCUUGGUGUUGGGUGUUUGUCUCGCCUCUGCGUGUAGACUCGCCUCAAAACAAUUGGCAGCCGGCGUAUUGAUUUCGGAGCGCAGUACAUCUCGCGCUUUGCACUCAUAACGACGACGUCCAAAAGUACAUUUUUACACUCUUGACCUCGGAUCAGGUAGGGAUACCCGCUGAACUUAAGCAUAUCAAUAAGCGGAGGA